CUUAAGCAUAUCAAUAAGCGGAGGAAAAGAAACCAACAGGGAUUGCCUCAGUAACGGCGAGUGAAGCGGCAAGAGCUCAAAUUUGAAAGCUGGCCCCUUCGGGGUCCGCGUUGUAAUUUGCAGAGGAUGCUUCGGGUGCAGCCCCCGUCUAAGUGCCCUGGAACGGGCCGUCAUAGAGGGUGAGAAUCCCGUCUGGGACGGGGUGUCUGCGUCCGUGUGAAGCUCCUUCGACGAGUCGAGUUGUUUGGGAAUGCAGCUCUAAAUGGGUGGUAAAUUUCAUCUAAAGCUAAAUACUGGCCGGAGACCGAUAGCGCACAAGUAGAGUGAUCGAAAGAUGAAAAGCACUUUGAAAAGAGAGUUAAACAGCACGUGAAAUUGUUGAAAGGGAAGCGUUUGCGACCAGACUCGCCCGCGGGGUUCAGCCGGCAUUCGUGCCGGUGUACUUCCCCGUGGGCGGGCCAGCGUCGGUUUGGGCGGCCGGUCAAAGGCCCUCGGAAUGUAUCACCUCUCGGGGUGUCUUAUAGCCGAGGGUGCAAUGCGGCCUGCCUGGACCGAGGAACGCGCUUCGGCUCGGACGCUGGCGUAAUGGUCGUAAAUGACCCGUCUUGAAACACGGACCAAGGAGUCUAACAUCUACGCGAGUGUUCGGGUGUCAAACCCGUACGCGCAGUGAAAGCGAACGGAGGUGGGAGCCCCCUCGCGGGGCGCACCAUCGACCGAUCCUGAUGUCUUCGGAUGGAUUUGAGUACGAGCGUAGCUGUGGGGACCCGAAAGAUGGUGAACUAUGCCUGAAUAGGGCGAAGCCAGAGGAAACUCUGGUGGAGGCUCGCAGCGGUUCUGACGUGCAAAUCGAUCGUCAAAUUUGGGUAUAGGGGCGAAAGACUAAUCGAACCAUCUAGUAGCUGGUUCCUGCCGAAGUU
This 920-nucleotide ribosomal RNA is filed under the name Aspergillus fumigatus. RNAcentral describes it as "LSU rRNA". It matches the Rfam family "Eukaryotic large subunit ribosomal RNA", at positions 33 to 968 of the family's 3401-position model. Lineage: Eukaryota; Fungi; Ascomycota; Eurotiomycetes; Eurotiales; Aspergillaceae. The record is from RNAcentral.